CUACCUGCAAGUCGAGGGGUAGGGUUACUUCGGUAAUCUGAGACCGGCGCACGGGUGCGUAACGCGUAUGCAAUCUACCUUUUACUAUGGGAUAGCCCAGAGAAAUUUGGAUUAAUACCAUAUAGUAUAUUUGAAUGGCAUCGUUUGAAUAUUAAAGAUUUAUCGGUAAAAGAUGAGCAUGCGUCCCAUUAGUUAGUUGGUGUGGCAACGGCAUACCAAGACGAUGAUGGGUAGGGGUCCUGAGAGGGAGAUCCCCCACACUGGUACUGAGACACGGACCAGACUCCUACGGGAGGCAGCAGUGAGGAAUAUUGGUCAAUGGAGGCAACUCUGAACCAGCCAUGCCGCGUGCAGGAUGACGGUCCUAUGGAUUGUAAACUGCUUUUGUACGGGAAGAAAACAAACUACGAGUAGUUAAUUGACGGUACCGUAAGAAUAAGGAUCGGCUAACUCCGUGCCAGCAGCCGCGGUAAUACGGAGGAUCCAAGCGUUAUCCGGAAUCAUUGGGNUUUAAAGGGUCCGUAGGCGGCCUUAUAAGUCAGUGGUGAAAGUUUUUUGGCUUANCCAA
This 568-nucleotide ribosomal RNA is filed under the name uncultured Flavobacterium sp. Its description in RNAcentral is "bacterial SSU rRNA". It matches the Rfam family "Bacterial small subunit ribosomal RNA", at positions 51 to 616 of the family's 1533-position model. The record is from RNAcentral. Lineage: Bacteria; Pseudomonadati; Bacteroidota; Flavobacteriia; Flavobacteriales; Flavobacteriaceae.